This 514-nucleotide ribosomal RNA is filed under the name uncultured bacterium. Its description in RNAcentral is "bacterial SSU rRNA". It matches the Rfam family "Bacterial small subunit ribosomal RNA", at positions 28 to 554 of the family's 1533-position model. The record is from RNAcentral.
GACGAACGCUGGCGGCGUGCUUAACACAUGCAAGUCGAGCGAGGUCCAACCGGUGGCAACACCGGGGAAGACCGAGCGGCGAACGGGUGAGUAACACGUGAGCAACCUGUCCCGAAGACCGGGAUAACACCGGGAAACCGGUGCUAAUACCGGAUGUCCCCACCGAGCCGCAUGACUCGGUGAGGAAAUGGAUUCCGCUUCGGGAGGGGCUCGCGGGCUAUCAGCUUGUUGGUGGGGUGACGGCCUACCAAGGCGACGACGGCUAGCUGGUCUGAGAGGACGACCAGCCACACUGGGACUGAGACACGGCCCAGACUCCUACGGGAGGCAGCAGUGGGGAAUCUUGCGCAAUGGGCGAAAGCCUGACGCAGCAACGCUGCGUGGGGGAUGAAGGCUCUCGGGUUGUAAACCCCUUUCAGCAGGGACGAAAUUGACGGUACCUGCAGAAGAAGCCCCGGCCAACUACGUGCCAGCAGCCGCGGUAAUACGUAGGGGCGAGCGUGUCCGGAUUAUU